This 1362-nucleotide ribosomal RNA is filed under the name uncultured bacterium. Its description in RNAcentral is "bacterial SSU rRNA". It matches the Rfam family "Bacterial small subunit ribosomal RNA", at positions 28 to 1381 of the family's 1533-position model. The record is from RNAcentral.
GAUGAACGCUAGCGGCAGGCUUAACACAUGCAAGUCGAGGGGUAACAGGGAGUGCUUGCACUCUGCUGACGACCGGCGCACGGGUGCGUAACGCGUAUGCAACCUACCUUCUACAGGGGGAUAGUCCAGAGAAAUUUGGCAUAAUACCCCAUACGAUCAUUUAUUGGCAUCGAUAGAUGAGGAAAACUCCGGUGGUAGAAGAUGGGCAUGCGUCCUAUUAGUUAGUUGGUAAGGUAACGGCUUACCAAGACAUCGAUAGGUAGGGGUCCUGAGAGGGAGAUCCCCCACACUGGUACUGAGACACGGACCAGACUCCUACGGGAGGCAGCAGUGAGGAAUAUUGGACAAUGGAGGCAACUCUGAUCCAGCCAUGCCGCGUGCAGGAAGACGGCCCUACGGGUUGUAAACUGCUUUUAUACAGGAAGAAACGCCGCUACGUGUAGCGGUUUGACGGUACUGUACGAAUAAGGAUCGGCUAACUCCGUGCCAGCAGCCGCGGUAAUACGGAGGAUCCAAGCGUUAUCCGGAAUCAUUGGGUUUAAAGGGUCCGUAGGCGGUUUUUUAAGUCAGAGGUGAAAUCCUGCAGCUCAACUGUAGCAUUGCCUUUGAUACUGAAAGACUUGAGUUAUUGUGAAGUAGUUAGAAUGUGUAGUGUAGCGGUGAAAUGCAUAGAUAUUACACAGAAUACCGAUUGCGAAGGCAGAUUACUAACAAUAUACUGACGCUGAGGGACGAAAGCGUGGGUAGCGAACAGGAUUAGAUACCCUGGUAGUCCACGCCGUAAACGAUGGAUACUAGCUGUUCGACCAACAUUGGUUGGUUGAGUGGCUAAGCGAAAGUGAUAAGUAUCCCACCUGAGGAGUACGCUCGCAAGAGUGAAACUCAAAGGAAUUGACGGGGGCCCGCACAAGCGGUGGAGCAUGUGGUUUAAUUCGAUGAUACGCGAGGAACCUUACCAGGGCUUAAAUGUAAGUUGCAUAGAUCAGAGAUGGUCUUUUCUUCGGACUACUUACAAGGUGCUGCAUGGUUGUCGUCAGCUCGUGCCGUGAGGUGUCAGGUUAAGUCCUAUAACGAGCGCAACCCCUGUCGUUAGUUGCCAGCAAGUAAAGUUGGGCACUCUAGCGAGACUGCCGGUGCAAACCGCGAGGAAGGUGGGGAUGACGUCAAAUCAUCACGGCCCUUACGUCCUGGGCUACACACGUGCUACAAUGGCCGGUACAGAGAGCAGCCUCUCCGCGAGGAGGAGCGAAUCUAUAAAACCGGUCUCAGUUCGGAUCGCGGUCUGCAACUCGACUGCGUGAAAGCUGGAAAUCGCUAGUAAUCGGAUAUCAGCCAUGAUCCGGUGAAUACGUUCCCGGGCCU